Molecule: unclassified non-coding RNA, 1300 nt
Filed under: Athalia rosae (coleseed sawfly)
Lineage: Eukaryota; Metazoa; Arthropoda; Insecta; Hymenoptera; Athaliidae
Description: misc RNA ENSAEAG00005011474.1
Source: RNAcentral
GUAAGAAAAGCAUAUCAAACCUAAUUAAAACAAUGAUUUAUUUUUUGCUCAAAAAUCGAAUUUUUUUUUGGUUUUUCAAGAGUAAUCUCACGUAUAAUCAGCUCAGGAAUUCAAAUCUGAAAGCCGAAAUCAUCUACUCAUGCAAUCGAUCGAGUAAUCAUCAAUUAUUCGCUGCUGGUAGCAGAAAAAUUACAAGACAUGUCGAUUGGUUUUAGUCGUAGACCCACUUUGAUUCGUCGCAUGGGUCGAAAUAUUCGAAUUCCUCGAUCUACCAGCGAGCCCGAGCUUUGCUGGAGUCAGGUAGCCAGCAACGUAGCGCUUUGUUGUGAGACGUCACCUUCGGGACUGUGCAGAGGUGACGCCCCACAACAAACCGCGCGCCCGCGGCGCAGCUAUAAUGUGGCAAUGAAGCUUUAUAUAAUGAAAUAAAAUUGAAUAACGAGUGAAAAAAUUAUGGAAAUCGUAAAAAAAAAAUCCCCAACUCGCAGGCAAGAGGGGCCAUGGUAUAUAUAGCUUGCGGUGAAGUAACUAAUUGUUGGCUUGGAAAGUACGAUGAUAUAAUAUACUCUACUCAUGAAUACAUAUGGAGGGAAAAAGAGGAAUUCGUUGGCGUUUCGUUGGUCGGAAGAUUUGAGCAGGCGUACCGUCAGGGGCGCUGUUGUUUGGGGGUUGAUAGGGGGAUGAGAAAAGUCUGAGAGAGAAGGCGCGAGUAGGAGAGAGAUAGAGAGGGAGACGGGCGGGAGGGAAGGAGGGAGGAAGAGAGGAUGAUAGAAAUGAGAGAAAAGAGAGAAGAGGAGGCGAAGGUCGGGGGUUGCAGGGGUAGACGUCCGGGGGUGGAAAACCUGGAGGGCGGAGGUUCAGAGGUUGGCUGCUCUCCGCAGUCAGUGUGGCCCGAACAACCGGUGUAACCUUAUCGCGUGAUACUCGGGCCGUACGUCUCCUAAAAAAACGCACACAGACACGUAUAUACAUCUAUACGACGCAAAAUAAUAUCAGAUAAUAUAAUAUAACGUACAUGUAUUUCAAAAGACAUUUUCCUUUUUUUUUGUUAAUAAUUUUGCUCAUCUGAUCCGCCAAUUCCCUUCCGUACACCUGUCCUGCUGCUUCCGCUGCUGCUGCUGCUGCUGCUGCUGCUGCUGAGAGCAACGGGAAUUCAUCCUAAAAAUAACCAUUCGGUUCAAAUAUGACUUUCGUUUGACACAAUUUGAAAAAUCCAACGUUAACAAAAACAUACGUAUGACAACAAUAAUAAAAACAAUAAUUGUUACCAUUGCAAUAACAUCUCGAGAGUUAAAAUUUU